CUGCUGCCUCCCGUAGGAGUUUGGUCCGUGUCUCAGUACCAAUGUGGGGGACCUUCCUCUCAGAACCCCUAUCCAUCGUCGGUUUGGUGGGCCGUUACCCCGCCAACUGCCUAAUGGAACGCAUGCCUAUCUAUCAGCGAUGAAUCUUUAGCAAAUAUCCCCAUGCGGGGCCCCUGCUUCAUGCGGUAUUAGUCCGACUUUCGCCGGGUUAGUCCCCCUCCUGAUAGGCAAGUUGCAUACGCGUUACUCACCCGUGCGCCGGUCCG
RNAcentral lists this ribosomal RNA (266 nucleotides) under uncultured bacterium. RNAcentral's name for it is "partial 16S ribosomal RNA". The record is from RNAcentral.